AUUGUUUCUCGGCCUUUUGGCUAAGAUCAAGUGUAGUAUCUGCUCUUAUCAGUUUAAUCCAUACAUGAAAUAUUUUACUGAAUGGGAAUCAGAUUUUGUAAAUGGAACUUAUUCUUUUUUAUUAUUUUUUUUUAAUGUUUAUUUUGGAAGAGAAAGAGACGGCAUGAGCAGGGGUGGGGCAGAGAGAGAAUAUGAAGUGGGCUCAAACCCAUCAUGACCU
This 220-nucleotide small nuclear RNA is filed under the name Suricata suricatta (meerkat). RNAcentral's name for it is "U2 spliceosomal RNA (ENSSSUG00005009270.1)". The stretch from base 1 to 112 matches the Rfam family "U2 spliceosomal RNA". Rfam says of the family: U2 is a small nuclear RNA (snRNA) component of the spliceosome (involved in pre-mRNA splicing). Lineage: Eukaryota; Metazoa; Chordata; Mammalia; Carnivora; Herpestidae. The record is from RNAcentral.